GUCGAUGGAUCGGCGGUAGCGGGGCGGCCUGGAGGGCCGCUCCGCGUCGAGGGUUCAAAUCCCUCCUCCGGCU
This 73-nucleotide transfer RNA is filed under the name Halorubrum halodurans. Its description in RNAcentral is "tRNA-Ser". Lineage: Archaea; Methanobacteriati; Methanobacteriota; Halobacteria; Halobacteriales; Haloferacaceae. The record is from RNAcentral.